AUUGAACGCUGGCGGCAUGCCUUACACAUGCAAGUCGAACGGCAGCACGGGAGCAAUCCUGGUGGCGAGUGGCGAACGGGUGAGUAAUAUAUCGGAACGUGCCCAGUCGUGGGGGAUAACGUAGCGAAAGCUACGCUAAUACCGCAUACGAUCUUUGGAUGAAAGCGGGGGAUCGCAAGACCUCGCGCGGUUGGAGCGGCCGAUAUCAGAUUAGGUUGUUGGUGGGGUAAAGGCCCACCAAGCCGACGAUCUGUAGCUGGUCUGAGAGGACGACCAGCCACACUGGGACUGAGACACGGCCCAGACUCCUACGGGAGGCAGCAGUGGGGAAUUUUGGACAAUGGGCGCAAGCCUGAUCCAGCAAUGCCGCGUGCAGGAUGAAGGCCUUCGGGUUGUAAACUGCUUUUGUACGGAGCGAAACAGCUCCCUCUAAUACAGGGGGCGAAUGACGGUACCGUAAGAAUAAGCACCGGCUAACUACGUGCCAGCAGCCGCGGUAA
This 500-nucleotide ribosomal RNA is filed under the name uncultured bacterium. RNAcentral describes it as "bacterial SSU rRNA". It matches the Rfam family "Bacterial small subunit ribosomal RNA", at positions 30 to 523 of the family's 1533-position model. The record is from RNAcentral.